CGACCCCAAGUCAGGCGGGGUUACCCGCUGAAUUUAAGCA
Molecule: ribosomal RNA, 40 nt
Filed under: Crataegus gaylussacia
Lineage: Eukaryota; Viridiplantae; Streptophyta; Magnoliopsida; Rosales; Rosaceae
Description: partial 26S ribosomal RNA
Source: RNAcentral